UUGAUUGAUUCAAACUAAUACUCCGACGCAGAGACGCAGGGUUUUGGUUGGUGUCCUCUGGGGCGCCGGCGAGGGCCACCCCGAGGCAACGCGGUACGGUUCACAAAGGGUUGGAGGUCGGGCGUGAACCCUCUCUCGGUAAUGAUCCCUCCGCAGGUUCACCUACGGAGA
Molecule: unclassified non-coding RNA, 171 nt
Filed under: uncultured fungus
Lineage: Eukaryota; Fungi
Description: sequence contains ITS1
Source: RNAcentral